Molecule: transfer RNA, 72 nt
Filed under: Ictidomys tridecemlineatus (thirteen-lined ground squirrel)
Lineage: Eukaryota; Metazoa; Chordata; Mammalia; Rodentia; Sciuridae
Description: Spermophilus tridecemlineatus (thirteen-lined ground squirrel) tRNA
Rfam family: tRNA
About the family: Transfer RNA (tRNA) molecules are approximately 80 nucleotides in length. Their secondary structure includes four short double-helical elements and three loops (D, anti-codon, and T loops).
Source: Rfam by way of RNAcentral
GGAGUUGUGGCUCAGUGGUAGAGUACUUGCCUGGCAUGUGUGAAGCCCUGGGUUUGAUCCUCAGCACUGCCU